UACGUAGGUCCCGAGCGUUGUCCGGAUUUAUUGGGCGUAAAGCGAGCGCUGGUGGUUUAUUAAGUCUGGUGUAAAAGGCAGUGGCUCAACCAUUGUAUGCAUUGGAAACUGGUAGACUUGAGUGCAGGAGAGGAGAGUGGAAUUCCAUGUGUAGCGGUGAAAUGCGUAGAUAUAUGGAGGAACACCGGUGGCGAAAGCGGCUCUCUGGCCUGUAACUGACACUGAGGCUCGAAAGCGUGGGGAGCAAACAGG
This 252-nucleotide ribosomal RNA is filed under the name uncultured bacterium. RNAcentral describes it as "partial 16S ribosomal RNA". It matches the Rfam family "Bacterial small subunit ribosomal RNA", at positions 524 to 776 of the family's 1533-position model. The record is from RNAcentral.